Long non-coding RNA from Vidua chalybeata, 4078 nucleotides. RefSeq lists it as uncharacterized. The record is from RefSeq and is a predicted model, not a curated record. The transcript is spliced from 26 exons. NCBI's taxonomy places the organism in Eukaryota, Metazoa, Chordata, Aves, Passeriformes, Viduidae.
GAAUAUUGUACACUGCUUUGUUUGAUCCUCAGCCUAUAUGGAUUAAUGAUGGGCAUAUAUGUGUGAGAACGAUUUCAUUAUUGAAACUAUUACUAAGGGGAGGAAUUGAGGAAGUGAAAAUGGGCAGAUACUGAUUCUCCACCAGAAGAAUCAUAGGCAAAGAAACACUAAUUCCUCUACAAAAUGGAAGUUUCUGCCUGCCUCAACCACCUUCCAAAGCUGCUGGAAGUGGGUGGAUGAACACACAGAGCUCUUGCUGAACUACUGAGCUUGGACACAAGCUUUGAGGCCACAUGGUUGAAUCCAAGAGUCAUCCUUCAUCCCUGGACCAGAGACAUCCCAUGAACCUUCAUCCUUUGCCUGGUAGCAGCUGUGUGGUGGAAUGGCAUCUCCCUGGCUCCUGCACAUGCAAAACAUUUGAAUUUCCUGUUGGCUCAGAGGAACCAGGCCACAGAUGCCUUGGACUUGGAAUUCAGCUUGCAAGCGAGAACAAGUGUGACCAGCAGGAGAUGGGCCAUCUUGCUGAGAAGAGAUCCUGAAGCAUUGUACAAAUGGAGAUUUUCAUUCAGAAUCAGACCUCACAAAACAUGUGGCCGAUAAAGUGUAGGCCACAUUUUUAUAAAGAUUUUUAAAAAUCUCACUUUUGAACAAAUCAUUAGCCCUUUACUUUUUUUUCUCUGCAGAUAUUAAGAGACUGAAAAUCAAUAUUUGAAGGAAAGAGAACAGCUGGGAACCUGGAGUUCAGCAUAGACAUUUUGCAUAAUAGGGAAUUCUUGUUUUCCAAGUAGCAAAGAUAGGAAGUAUUAUUGUGUGGCAACUUUGUCUCCAGAUUUUUUUUUUUUUUUAAUAGAAAAUGGUGGAUUCUUUCCAGGAGAACUAUCAAACAGCUAAGUGUCUGGAUGUCACAGCUGCAUCCUGUAAAUGUCUCUUUAGUUUCACCAAUGGUAAAACCUGUUUUGACCUUCUAGUAAAAGAAAAUAGCCCAAAUAUACCAGAGAAAGCACAGUGUCUCCAAAGGGCCUGGCCUAAGUGAGCACCCAGAAUCCCAGAAAGCCAAGAAAUUUGAAGGCAGUCAGACUUGAUUUAAUUAUUUUUUACUACAAGUCUCAUUUGAGAGAAUGAUUAACGGGAGAAGAGACAUAAAUGGCAAAGUCUUGAUCAAAGAAGCUGCUGUCAGAGUACCAUCUAGAUAAAUUAGGAAAAGAAUGCUCAGGUUUCUGUGAAAGAAGACUAAUGACAUCAAGUCAAGAUGAAAUAGAAAGGAGCAGCAUUGCAGGCUGGAAAUCAUAAAAGACUAGCGUGCCCUGACAAGAAGCCCUGAGAAAUUUCCCGAACUGGAAAGUAAUUGGAAUUGGAAAGGAAUUACUUUCUGUAAGUGCCGGGUCUUGAAGUUUCGCAGGACUGAAGAUGACCCAGGCACCAAACUUGCUUUUUGGAACCUGUCAAGACAAGUGAAGAAAUCUUCUGGAAGCAUCUGAAGCUGUUAGUAUCAGCUCUACACACUGCAGGUAUUCUGCAUCUUAUGCACUCUACUCAACUAGGAUCAGUCCCUUCACCUAAAAGCUCAAACGGUCCCACCUGGAGGCAAGCAGACAGUGGAUAUAAGGAGACUGUGAAACUAACAGCUAACAACUGAGCCAAGAUCACUGCGACCAGCAGAGUUCACUGAGACCAGCAGCUGAUCACUUCAGACCAGCAGAGGAUCAGUUAGAUCAUUCAGAGCAAUGGAGCAACCUGGCCAAUCAAUGAAGGAAGGUGUAUGAAUAUAUGUGCCAGAGGGUAAAUGAAUAGCUCCAGCCUCAAAGAGAGUUCUUGGACAGGAGGUAAUCUGACACAAAGCAUAUUUACACCAUAGCAUUUUUCAAGAUGACCAUUUGGAAACAACAUUUGGAGGAACAUUUGGAUUGCAUCCUCUAACUAAAUUUCCAAGCUGUUGGUAACGGACUAAAGAAAAUGUGGUCUGCACUGAAUACUAAAGAGCUGCAAAUAGUAGUCCCAUAGUGGCAGUGGAGCACUGUGGAAAUAAAAGACAAGAGAGAUAUGCCAAGGAUGAAGCGUGUUCUGGAAGGGAUGAACCCGUGUCCCUCAUCCCUAAAUAUGACCAAGGUUGAUCCUGUGGUGGAUGGUAGGGACCUCAGUUAUUUUACUUCUGCCCAUGGGAUCCCACUUCAAUUGCAGCUGUUUGAAUUAACAUGUUUCCUUGCUGCAUCUCCUGGCUGAGGGAAGUGCAAGUGCUACCAUGGCCAGCAGAACAGACAGAUACCUGAUGUAUUACUUCAUCAGCAAAUUCAACAAGGCCAAGAUGUCUUCAUUUUCCUUCAGAGCAAGAGCUGUAAGAGCAGUGUGGUGGAAGGAUUGGUCUUCUGUGGCCAGCCAGAAAGAAGGGAAAAGAGGGAUUUGACCAAUCAUGUCAACUGUGGCCUUAUGUUUGAAGAACAGUUUUUCAAGCAACUGCUCUCAGAGGAAACGCUGGUUCUCAGUGGGAAAUCAGGUUGCUGUUUGCUUGCCAGUGGUGACCAAGGUAAACAGGUGUGUCCAGAGCUACUGUGUCAGCAAAAGUUCUAAAAAGCUCAUGGUAAAGUGUCUGCUUUCACCUCUCAGAUUCAAGCUGAUUAAAUAGUUUGAGGAAAAGUGCUGUGGGCAGUGAAGAACAAUGAAGAUCAUUUAGAUGAGCUGCAGCACUACUGGUCUUCUGAUAAAUUUUCAAAAUUUGAGAUGAGUGGCAAAUUUUUCAGCGAAUCCAAGGGAACCAGAGUAGGGAUGGUCAGCUUAGCAAGAGAAACUAAGGCACCAGUAAAUAAGGAGCACCAUAGUGGGUAAAACUCAAGUGAAGGAGAUGAGAAUCAAGCCCAGGCAGAGUACAGGAGCUGCAAUGCAGGAGCCAGUCCUCCCUGUGCAACCUUUAAGUGAGGAAGAGGUGAUUUCAGAGCUAACUGAGAGUUAACUGGCUACGUUUCAACUGUCACCAUUGUCUUAAAUCUACAUAGAGAGUGGAGAGAGCCAGAGAGGUGUACUUAGCACUUAUGAAAUGCAAGCUCAAGGCAGGCUGUGAGGAACAUCUACCCUUAGAGAAGUCUUUCUGGAAGGCCAAAGAAAUUAUUUGCUGAAAUAUCAGUGCAUCAUGACAAGAUUUUUGAAGCUGAUUGUUACUCCAUGGAAUCCAAAUCAUAAGGUUUCCAGGAGAUGGGGUGGUGUGAACCCUGCCUUGGAGACCUCUGGACGAGUCCUCCUUCCCAGUGCUGGGUGUGCUCCUCCUCGCUGGCCAGGACACUGAGGAGCCCCAGUGUGUGGCUCCUCCAGCAAUCAGUGGAACUAUUAAUUAACCUGAGGGCAGUCCCUGGCCCAUUGCAAGCAUGGCAAGAUCCAUGCAAAGGGGCAGAUACGGAAGAAGAUACAGGCUCACAUUCCAGCAAAGAUGUCCACAGAGGGAUGUGCUUCCCUCUAAGGAGCUAUCAGGUCCCACUGACACUGCUGCCUUCUAACAUGGAUGUUCUUCAGCCUGCAUCACUCAUCCAUAGGACACAGCUCUUUUCAUACCAUCUUCCCCACACAGGGCUGAGGUUCCUGUGGAAAUACUGUCAGUGUUCCUACCUGUGCCUGUGGUGGGUGCUGAGUCUCAGGAGAACAGAGAUCAAGCACAUCCGUGCAAAGGGUGGCCGGUUGGGAUCGCAUCUGUGAAGCAGCACAGUCACCAAGGAGCAGGUUGGAGAAGAAACAGCACUGUUGUACCCAUGGCAUGAGACAGGGGAGCCCUCAGGAGUCAGGCACCCGCUGUGGUUGGUGGGAUAUAAACAAAUCCCAUGGAGAACCAAGAUGUUCCCACAAAGAAUAAAAUAUCUCUCCAGAUUUCAAGUCAACCAGGAAUGGUACAAACUUGGUCAGGGACUCCAGGCAGUGCCUGGUGGGUUCUGCAAGGCCUAGGGGCAGGAGCACUGUGGCUUCCCCAGAAUAUCACUAACAUAUAGUUGCCAGCAAACCCCAGGUGCACACAGAAUCAAUCUGGAGCUGAAAACAUCCCCGUAGGAAGCGUACACAUCUCUGCUUAUACAGGAACAGAAACAGCAAUAACUUCAGGUCC